This 2315-nucleotide ribosomal RNA is filed under the name Salmonella enterica subsp. diarizonae. RNAcentral's name for it is "partial 23S ribosomal RNA". It matches the Rfam family "Bacterial large subunit ribosomal RNA", at positions 647 to 2925 of the family's 2925-position model. The record is from RNAcentral. Lineage: Bacteria; Pseudomonadati; Pseudomonadota; Gammaproteobacteria; Enterobacterales; Enterobacteriaceae.
UAACCGCAUAGGGGAGCCGAAGGGAAACCGAGUCUUAACCGGGCGUUAAGUUGCAGGGUAUAGACCCGAAACCCGGUGAUCUAGCCAUGGGCAGGUUGAAGGUUGGGUAACACUAACUGGAGGACCGAACCGACUAAUGUUGAAAAAUUAGCGGAUGACCUGUGGCUGGGGGUGAAAGGCCAAUCAAACCGGGAGAUAGCUGGUUCUCCCCGAAAGCUAUUUAGGUAGCGCCUCGUGAACUCAUCUCCGGGGGUAGAGCACUGUUUCGGCUAGGGGGCCAUCCCGGCUUACCAACCCGAUGCAAACUGCGAAUACCGGAGAAUGUUAUCACGGGAGACACACGGCGGGUGCUAACGUCCGUCGUGAAGAGGGAAACAACCCAGACCGCCAGCUAAGGUCCCAAAGUCAUGGUUAAGUGGGAAACGAUGUGGGAAGGCCCAGACAGCCAGGAUGUUGGCUUAGAAGCAGCCAUCAUUUAAAGAAAGCGUAAUAGCUCACUGGUCGAGUCGGCCUGCGCGGAAGAUGUAACGGGGCUAAACCAUGCACCGAAGCUGCGGCAGCGACACUUUAGUGUUGUUGGGUAGGGGAGCGUUCUGUAAGCCGUUGAAGGUGUCCUGUGAGGGGUGCUGGAGGUAUCAGAAGUGCGAAUGCUGACAUAAGUAACGAUAAAGCGGGUGAAAAGCCCGCUCGCCGGAAGACCAAGGGUUCCUGUCCAACGUUAAUCGGGGCAGGGUGAGUCGACCCCUAAGGCGAGGCCGAAAGGCGUAGUCGAUGGGAAACGGGUUAAUAUUCCCGUACUUGGUGUUACUGCGAAGGGGGGACGGAGAAGGCUAUGUUGGCCGGGCGACGGUAGUCCCGGUUUAAGCGUGUAGGCUGGUUUUCCAGGCAAAUCCGGAAAAUCAAGGCUGAGGCGUGAUGACGAGGCACCACGGUGCUGAAGCAACAAAUGCCCUGCUUCCAGGAAAAGCCUCUAAGCAUCAGGUAACAUCAAAUCGUACCCCAAACCGACACAGGUGGUCAGGUAGAGAAUACCAAGGCGCUUGAGAGAACUCGGGUGAAGGAACUAGGCAAAAUGGUGCCGUAACUUCGGGAGAAGGCACGCUGACACGUAGGUGAAGUGAUUUACUCAUGGAGCUGAAGUCAGUCGAAGAUACCAGCUGGCUGCAACUGUUUAUUAAAAACACAGCACUGUGCAAACACGAAAGUGGACGUAUACGGUGUGACGCCUGCCCGGUGCCGGAAGGUUAAUUGAUGGGGUCAGCGCAAGCGAAGCUCCUGAUCGAAGCCCCGGUAAACGGCGGCCGUAACUAUAACGGUCCUAAGGUAGCGAAAUUCCUUGUCGGGUAAGUUCCGACCUGCACGAAUGGCGUAAUGAUGGCCAGGCUGUCUCCACCCGAGACUCAGUGAAAUUGAACUCGCUGUGAAGAUGCAGUGUACCCGCGGCAAGACGGAAAGACCCCGUGAACCUUUACUAUAGCUUGACACUGAACAUUGAGCCUUGAUGUGUAGGAUAGGUGGGAGGCUUUGAAGCGUGGACGCCAGUCUGCGUGGAGCCGACCUUGAAAUACCACCCUUUAAUGUUUGAUGUUCUAACGUGGACCCGUAAUCCGGGUUGCGGACAGUGUCUGGUGGGUAGUUUGACUGGGGCGGUCUCCUCCUAAAGAGUAACGGAGGAGCACGAAGGUUGGCUAAUCCUGGUCGGACAUCAGGAGGUUAGUGCAAUGGCAUAAGCCAGCUUGACUGCGAGCGUGACGGCGCGAGCAGGUGCGAAAGCAGGUCAUAGUGAUCCGGUGGUUCUGAAUGGAAGGGCCAUCGCUCAACGGAUAAAAGGUACUCCGGGGAUAACAGGCUGAUACCGCCCAAGAGUUCAUAUCGACGGCGGUGUUUGGCACCUCGAUGUCGGCUCAUCACAUCCUGGGGCUGAAGUAGGUCCCAAGGGUAUGGCUGUUCGCCAUUUAAAGUGGUACGCGAGCUGGGUUUAGAACGUCGUGAGACAGUUCGGUCCCUAUCUGCCGUGGGCGCUGGAAGACUGAGGGGGGCUGCUCCUAGUACGAGAGGACCGGAGUGGACGCAUCACUGGUGUUCGGGUUGUCAUGCCAAUGGCACUGCCCGGUAGCUAAAUGCGGAAAAGAUAAGUGCUGAAAGCAUCUAAGCACGAAACUUGCCCCGAGAUGAGUCUUCCCUGAGACCUUGAGUCUCCUGAAGGAACGUUAAAGACGAUGACGUUGAUAGGCCGGGUGUGUAAGCGCAGCGAUGCGUUGAGCUAACCGGUACUAAUGAACCGUGAGGCUUAACCUUACAACGCCGAAGCUGUU